Molecule: ribosomal RNA, 251 nt
Filed under: uncultured bacterium
Lineage: Bacteria
Description: partial 16S ribosomal RNA
Rfam family: Bacterial small subunit ribosomal RNA
Source: RNAcentral
GAUCCUGGCUCAGGAUGAACGCUAGCUACAGGCUUAACACAUGCAAGUCGAGGGGCAGCGGGAUUGAAGCUUGCUUCAAUUGCCGGCGACCGGCGCACGGGUGAGUAACGCGUAUCCAACCUUCCGUACACUCAGGGAUAGCCUUUCGAAAGAAAGAUUAAUACCUGAUGGUAUCUUAAGCACACAUGUAAUUAAGAUUAAAGAUUUAUCGGUGUACGAUGGGGAUGCGUUCCAUUAGGUAGUAGGCGGGG